CAACUUUUUCCAACGCAUAUCUUGGGUCUCUCAUCUAUGAAAGAGACACAGCAAAGUGAUAAAAAAUGUGAAUAUUGCAAAUUUCUGAAUCAUCUAAUCUUUUAAAACACCUUGUGCUCCUUGUGAUUCCCAGAAGAAUGCGUGUUUGAGUGUCAUG
This 157-nucleotide ribosomal RNA is filed under the name Hornodermoporus latissimus. RNAcentral describes it as "5.8S ribosomal RNA". It matches the Rfam family "5.8S ribosomal RNA". From Rfam's summary of the family: 5.8S ribosomal RNA (5.8S rRNA) is a component of the large subunit of the eukaryotic ribosome. It is transcribed by RNA polymerase I as part of the 45S precursor that also contains 18S and 28S rRNA. Lineage: Eukaryota; Fungi; Basidiomycota; Agaricomycetes; Polyporales; Polyporaceae. The record is from RNAcentral.